RNAcentral lists this small RNA (112 nucleotides) under Sinorhizobium meliloti 2011. RNAcentral describes it as "putative ncRNA". The record is from RNAcentral. Lineage: Bacteria; Pseudomonadati; Pseudomonadota; Alphaproteobacteria; Hyphomicrobiales; Rhizobiaceae.
AUCCCGCUCUUGCGGAGCGCUGCAUGGCGGCCAUGCCGCCUGUGAGCUCUUCGUAGACCGAUGUAAUCGCAUGAACGUGGCGCUCGAAACUGAAACGGGCGCGUACUUCGUU